AGAACUGGCGGUGUCCGAAAUCACACUUCAUAGCUAUAAUGAUAUUUGUCCAGGAAUAUAAGGAUGGUGUUUUUGUUCUUUUGGAAUUCAAGAAUGGAAAAGUUGAAGACGGAAAAAAUGUGAAAGAGAAGAGUCAAUGAAAUGGACUUUCCAUGAAUUAAAGGAAAAGAUGAAAGGAAAGCCAAGGCAAAUAAAUAACUUUCUUGUUACAGACGUUUGAAAGGGGCAGUUUUGUCUAUUGCUGUAUUGUAUAUGUAUAUUUUGUUGAUUAUUUCAGAAAUAUUACUGAUACUACAUUUUUGAAAAUGUGUCAUUUGACUAUUCUGUCGCGUAUCAAUAAAAUAAUAAUAAUAAUAA
Molecule: long non-coding RNA, 357 nt
Organism: Bufo gargarizans (Asiatic toad)
Lineage: Eukaryota; Metazoa; Chordata; Amphibia; Anura; Bufonidae
Exons: 3
Source: RefSeq, a predicted model, not a curated record